CUACAGAGGGUGCAAGCGUUAUUCGGAAUUACUGGGCGUAAAGCGCGCGUAGGCGGAUGAUUAAGUCAGUUGUGAAAGCCCUGGGCUCAACCUAGGAACUGCAUCUGAUACUGGUCGUCUAGAGUUUAAGAGAGGGAAGUGGAAUUCCAGGUGUAGCAGUGAAAUGCGUAGAUAUCUGGAGGAACAUCAGUGGCGAAGGCGACUUCCUGGCUUAAAACUGACGCUGAGGUGCGAAAGCGUGGGUAGCGAACGGGAUUAGAAACCCCAGUAGUCC
RNAcentral lists this ribosomal RNA (274 nucleotides) under uncultured bacterium. RNAcentral describes it as "partial 16S ribosomal RNA". It matches the Rfam family "Bacterial small subunit ribosomal RNA", at positions 523 to 796 of the family's 1533-position model. The record is from RNAcentral.